This 241-nucleotide ribosomal RNA is filed under the name uncultured bacterium. RNAcentral describes it as "partial 16S ribosomal RNA". It matches the Rfam family "Bacterial small subunit ribosomal RNA", at positions 265 to 523 of the family's 1533-position model. The record is from RNAcentral.
CCACCAAGGCAUCGACGGGUAGCUGGUCUGAGAGGACGAUCAGCCACACUGGGACUGAGACACGGCCCUUACUCCUACGGGAGGCAGCAGCUAGGAAUCUUGCGCAAUGGACGAAAGUCUGACGCAGCGACGCCGCGUGCGGGAUGAAGGCCCUAGGGUCGUAAACUGCUUUCAGCAGGGACGAAACUGACGGUACCUGCAGAAGAAGCCCCGGCCAACUACGUGCCAGCAGCCGCGGUAA